UACGGAGGGUGCAAGCAUUAAUCGGAUUUAUUGGGCGUAAAGGGCGCGUAGGCGGCAAUAUAAGUCAGAUGUGAAAUCCCGGGGCUCACCCCCGGAACAGCAUUUGAAACUGUAUUCCUUGAGGGUAGGCGGAGAAAAUGGAAUUCCACAAGUAGCGGUGAAAUGCGUAGAUAUGUGGAAGAACACCAGUGGCGAAGGCGAUUUUCUAGCUUACUCCUGACGCUGAGGCGCGAAAGCAAGGGGAUCAAACAGG
This 253-nucleotide ribosomal RNA is filed under the name uncultured bacterium. RNAcentral's name for it is "partial 16S ribosomal RNA". It matches the Rfam family "Bacterial small subunit ribosomal RNA", at positions 524 to 776 of the family's 1533-position model. The record is from RNAcentral.